RNAcentral lists this transfer RNA (85 nucleotides) under Candidatus Bathyarchaeota archaeon. RNAcentral's name for it is "tRNA-Leu". It matches the Rfam family "tRNA". From Rfam's summary of the family: Transfer RNA (tRNA) molecules are approximately 80 nucleotides in length. Lineage: Archaea; Thermoproteati; Candidatus Bathyarchaeota. The record is from RNAcentral.
GCGGCGAUAGCCAAGCCAGGCCAAAGGCGGGGGACUCAAGAUCCCUUCCCGUAGGGGUUCGCCGGUUCAAAUCCGGCUCGCCAUC